This is a long non-coding RNA of Physeter macrocephalus (sperm whale), 506 nucleotides long. RefSeq lists it as uncharacterized. NCBI's taxonomy places the organism in Eukaryota, Metazoa, Chordata, Mammalia, Artiodactyla, Physeteridae. The record is from RefSeq and is a predicted model, not a curated record. The transcript has 3 exons.
UGGCGUCUCCCGUGAACUGGUGUCGUGUGCUCCCGCCCCUGCGCUGGGCUAGACAUCCUUUUACGUCAUCUCUUCCACAAAGCCUCGCCACCGCACACCAUCCCCGCAAAAAAGAGAAGUCACCCACAGAGUCAUGACGACACUCAGGCAGCCUCUGGAGAGGCCCAGGUGGGAAGCAACUGAGGCCUUCCAUGAGCUACCAGCACCACCUUGCCAGCCUGUGACUGCACCACCUUGGAAGCAGAUCUUCCAGCUCCAGUCACUUCUGAUGACUGCAUCCCUGGUGACAUCUUGGCCGCAGCCUCAUGGGAAGCCCUGGGACAGCCAUUCCUGAAUUUGAGACCCACACAACCUCUGCACCAUGAGGCUUGCAGGAUCUUAGUUCGCUGACCAGGGAUUGAACCUGGGCCCAUGGCAGUGAAAGUGCCAAGUCCUAAGCAAUGGACCGCCAGGGAAUUCCCUGUUUUUCUUUCUUGAAUUGAGUCUUUUUUAGGAAGAAUUGAAUA